Molecule: transfer RNA, 72 nt
Organism: Camelus ferus (Wild Bactrian camel)
Lineage: Eukaryota; Metazoa; Chordata; Mammalia; Artiodactyla; Camelidae
Rfam family: tRNA
About the family: Transfer RNA (tRNA) molecules are approximately 80 nucleotides in length.
Source: Rfam
GAGGGUAUAGCUCAGGGGUAGAGGGUGUGCUUAGCAUGCAUGAGGUCCUGGGUUCAAUCCCCAGUACCUCUA